RNAcentral lists this non-coding RNA (28 nucleotides) under Bombyx mori (domestic silkworm). Lineage: Eukaryota; Metazoa; Arthropoda; Insecta; Lepidoptera; Bombycidae. The record is from RNAcentral.
GAGCAGCCCUCGGAGGACAGGUCCCAGA